AGACGACCUAAACUUGGAGAACCAAGGAAAAGAGCUCAUGAGUCUUCCAAGCCUCAAAACUUGCUCUUUGCUCAAAAAUCUUCAAAACAAAGUAAAAACUCAUGAAAAUCAUGAAAGAUUUGAAGAAAAGGACUCAAAAUCGGCGAGGGACGGCGGAGAACUCACCUUGGCCGAAAAUGGGGAGAAAAGCUCGCCCAUUCGGACAAGGGGACCCUUUUAUAGGUGGCUGGCCAGGCCACUUUCG
RNAcentral lists this long non-coding RNA (244 nucleotides) under Manihot esculenta (cassava). RNAcentral's name for it is "long non-coding RNA (MESC_LNC008032)". Lineage: Eukaryota; Viridiplantae; Streptophyta; Magnoliopsida; Malpighiales; Euphorbiaceae. The record is from RNAcentral.